GCCUUCGUGGUGCAGUGGUCAGCACGCUCGGCGCGUAUUCGAGAGGUCCAUGGUUCGAGUCCUGGAGAAAGCA
RNAcentral lists this transfer RNA (73 nucleotides) under Stegodyphus mimosarum. It matches the Rfam family "tRNA". Rfam says of the family: Transfer RNA (tRNA) molecules are approximately 80 nucleotides in length. Their secondary structure includes four short double-helical elements and three loops (D, anti-codon, and T loops). Lineage: Eukaryota; Metazoa; Arthropoda; Arachnida; Araneae; Eresidae. The record is from Rfam by way of RNAcentral.